CUGAACUGUUGACACGANCUGUUGCUGGUCCUCAAAUGAGGGGGCAUGUGCACGCUCUGUUUACACAUCCACUCACACCUGUGCACCCUCUGUAGUUCUACAUGGUCUGGGGGACAUGCCGUCUUCCUCGUGUAGCUCUACGUCUUUACACAUACACCGUACAAAGUCUUAUGGAAUGUGCACCGCGUUUAACGCAAUACAAUAC
Molecule: unclassified non-coding RNA, 205 nt
Filed under: Thelephora americana
Lineage: Eukaryota; Fungi; Basidiomycota; Agaricomycetes; Thelephorales; Thelephoraceae
Description: ITS1
Source: RNAcentral